AAGGGUUUAGGGUUUAUCCAAAGGUUUAGGGUUUAAGUUUUAGUGUUUUGCUCACAACGUUAAAAAUAUUUUUUUAUAAUUCUUUUUUUGUAACUACUAUUAUUUUUUAUUUAUUUUUACUUUUUUUUUAUUUAAAAACAUAAUAUAACUUGACAAUAUUUUGUUUCAUUUUUUUAAAUAUAUUGAAUAUAAAAUAACGAAAUCCUAUUGAUUUAUGAAUCUAGAGAUUUAUCCUAUGGUGAAUCCAAGAAUAACUCGUAUAACAAUAUAUCAUCGUCCAUGUGCAUGAGAAUCUUGUUCACAUACAAAAUAAACUCAUCUUCCCUGUGGCUUUCCGAUUCAAACGUCACUAAGGAAGAAAUUCGACCGAAAAGAAAGUUAAAUAUUAAAAGUUGCAACUUGAUAUGAAAAUUUAAUUUAUGAUUUUGAAGCCGUAUUAGAUCUCAUAUUAUUUUGAAAAUUUUAGAACAUCCAUUUUCGAAAUUGUAAAACGAUAUAAGUUUUUAGUUUUUUACCAAAAAAAUAUGAUAAGUUCCACUGUCAUGACUCAUGCUAGACGACAAAAAAGAAAAGCUCAUCGAAAUAAUUGUUGUGAACAAGCCUGAAAUCAUGAAUGGCUCUAUAGUAUUCUUGUUCUGCUGAAAACCAGUGUAGCUAAUCGAGUUAGAUCGAUGAUAUCGUAGGAUUAAAUUCAUGCAGGCCAUGUCACUUGUCAACCCUCCAUAAUAUAACUGAUUCUGAAACCAACAAUAUAUAUAUAUAUAUAUAUAUAUAUAUGAUUAUGCGUUUUUACUUAUUUUGUAAUAAAAUCAUCGUGUUUUUUUUUCCAGAAUUUAAAAAGGUUAGACAUGUUUAAGAGCAUCUUCAACAACUCUUUAUCACCUAUUUUUCGAAGGAUCACCAUCAAAUUUGAAGGUAUAUUAAUCACCUUUUCAGAAUACUUUUCACACCCUCAAAAUAGUAUUCACCUUUCAAUUUAAUCUUUAUAAUUAUAUAUGUUUCACAAUCGCACAAAUAACUUUUUAUAUAUCAUAUUUUAAUACUUAUCGAAUAAAAAAAUAUGUUAUUAACAUUUUUUAUACAACUUAUAAGUUAUAUUUAACUACUUAUUAUUAUAUUUUGUCAUAAAUAUUUUAUUUUAAAAUUUUCAAAUAGUAAAUUUUAUUUUAUAUUUAUUUUCAAAUCAUAAAUAUAAGUUAUAUCCUCUGAUUUUAAAGGUGUUUUCCCUUCAAAAUGAGGAUGCAUGUUCUAACAACAAUCUAACAAGAUUGUUGGGCAGUUUGUAUUAUAACAUCUCCAAAAAAAAACUAAAUAAUUUCAAAUGUAGAAUUUUUUUCUCUUUAAAAUUAACUUCAAAAUUAUUUUGAAUUUUGAGAAGUGAACCUACUAAAAACUUCAAAUUUCAAGUUUCAUGGGUUUUUUUUUUGCAUUUUGGUCCUUAUAACUAUUUAUACAUCAUAUUUAUGAUUGUUAAGUAUUUUUUUCGUUUUUCGUUUUAAUCUUUAAAAAAAAAAUAUUUCAAAUUUGGUUUUCUAAAUUCAAAUUUUACACAUAAAAUUAAAUAAAAAAUUUAAAACGUAGAAUAUUUUAAAAUUAUAGAAUACAACAAGAAUAUUACAAUAGAAACUUAAUAAAAAACUUUAAAAAAGAUAUAUGAAGACGAAAUUAUUAAACAAAUUUAAAUAUUACAACAACAAUAAUAGUCUAGUAAAUUUGCUCUCGGACCUCCAAAAUCUCUAAAAUAUUGUCUAAACAAAUUGUAACCGAAGAUGGAGCAUUACAUAAAUAUUUUUUUGGAAUAAUGUAGUAUUGUGCUUAUAGUUUAAUAUUUGAUUAUUUAUUUUUAUUUAUAAUAAUUAUUUUAGAGUAAUAUUUUAUUAAUUAAUAUUAUUGUAAUAUUUUAUAUAUCUGCUACAUAUUUAUAAUGGUUAUAUGGAUUUAUAUUAAUUAUGAAAAAUAUAAAGACUAUAGUGUAAAAUAUAAAUAAUUUUAAAAUUUUGCUUUUGAAGAAAAACAACUUGAAUCUUCAAAUAUAUAUUUUUGCAAACUUCAAAAUAUAUAGAGUAUUAGAUUCUUAGUGUCGUGACGGCGACAUUGUGCCUGAGUCUAUUUAAGCCCGACAAUAAAACAAAAUUAUAUAAUAUUAUAAAAGGAGAAUUGGGCUGUAUAACCUUCAAAUAAAUUAUAAUUCAUUAGAUAACUAAAACCCCUAACUUUCAUCUACAAUAUAUGUCUUUUAUGUAAUAAUGCUAUAUUACCCUUCAAUUCAACAUGUGUAACCUACUGAGAAUUAUUUAUUAAAAUAAAUAUUAAAUAAAUAAUUUAAUAAAAUUGUGGUUAUCAUUGGUGCACACUAACAAUCUCUGUUUCUUUUUCAUACAUACGAACAAAAACUACUUCAUCUCAAGACGAAGAAAGAGCAUGGAUUUUGAGCUUGUGGAAUUGCGUUUGGAGGAGAAGAUGACACAAUAGAGAACGACGAGGUGACUUCACGAUUUCUUUUUUUGAGUUUCUUUAACGUUGUUGAUCUUGAUUUUUUUGUUGUUAUUUAAAUUGUUAUAGUAUGCUGUAUUGAUAUGGUAUGGUGAAGAAUAAUUACUCUGGACUAGUGAAUGCGUGUAUCACCAUGUCUGCAAAAAGAGGAAGAUGUGAAAAGAUGAACUCGCCGACUAUACUAUAUGUAACGAAAGAAAAUUAUAGUCUAGUACGAUUCUUAUAUUUUUGUACCAUUCGCAAGUAUCAAACUAAAAUAGUAUGCUACGGUUCUUGUAUUAUUGUACCAUUCACAAGAAAUGGAAUAACACUUACAUCUCUACGUUCACUUACAUUGACUAACAUAUAUAUAUUUCUUGUUACUCUAUACAUAACACCUACACAUAUACAAUUAGUAUUACUAUCAAUUUCUAGUUUACAAUUAUAUGUACUAUACUAUGUAUUUUGUUUUAUACUAUUUGGGUUUAGAGUUUAUACUUGGAUUUAGGGUUUAGUGAUUAAGAUUUAGGGUUUAGGAUUUGGAAGGUGGAGGUUGAGGUUUGGGGUUAGUGACCGCAUUAUGUAUGUUCCAUUUGACGAUUAAUAAAGAGUGUUCUAUUUUGCUCACCAUUUUGUACUAUACUAUGUAUAUUGUUUCAUUCUAUUUGGGUUUAUAGUCUAUACUUGGAUUUAAGGUUUAGUGAUUAGGAUUUAGGGUUUAGUAUUUGGAAGGUGGGGGUUUAGGUUUGGAUUUAGUGAUAGCAUUUUUGGGUUUAGUAUUCAUAAGUUAGGUCUGAAUUUAGCAUUGAGGAGUUGUGUGUUGGAUUGGAUUUAGUUUAAUAUUACGUAAUAUUAUAUACUAAUUAAAGAUUUUAAUAAUUGGGUUUAAAGUUUAUAUUUGGGUUUAGGGUUCAGUAAUAAGGGUUUAGGAUUUAGUAUUUAGAUGGAAGGGUGAUGUUAAGAGUUUAGGGUUUAGUAUUUAGGGGUUGAAGUUUGGAGUAAAGUUUAAUAUUUACUAGAUGUGAGUGGAUUUGGAAUCCUAUUAUAUUUCAGUGAUAUAAUAUAGAAAAAUUGGAUGCAUAUUUAUGUGCUAAACAAACGUGUGGUGUUGGUUGUAUUACAUGUGAUAAUCAAUGGUGGAAUGUCAAAUUGUUGAUGCCAUCAAUUUUUUUUUCUCGAAUACCGGCAACUUGAACAAAAAAGGAUAGUACUGGAUAAAACUUGACAUAAUUGUUAUGAAAUUAAUAAUGUCAAAAUCAAUGGUUUGCACUUAAUUUUCUUUUCAAGCUUGGCCAUUUCGCAAAUUCUCGCUAUUAUACAAAGUAACAUUUGAGAAAAUAGUCAUUUAAAAUUCCCGCGAAAAGUGACAUAACAGAAACCUUCCUUAAUUAAGGACAAAAUCAUGAUUAGUACUCGUUCCUCCGACAUUAGAAAAACUAUAAUAAAUGGUUUGUGUCAUUCUGAUCCUCCUGGUUAUAAUUUUCUCCACAUUCUAGAAGCUCUUCCAAUAAACUAUCGUCUAAAUAAUCAAACUCAAUGACUUCUUUCAUGUUACCACCGUCUGUUCCACUAAACUGGGACGACGAAGAAGCCACCACAUUCUCGCUGGCGCCACUUGGAUCGUCUGUCAUCAUUGGGUAUUCGUGAGGCCCGAGCCGCGUCUUCCGCAGUGUCAAACGUUCCAAGCCAGAUCGCAUCAUGUCUGGCGAGUCCUGUAUCUCCGCCGCAUAUUUUCCCCACGGACGCUUCCUUACACCUCUGUAUUUCACCUCAUUCGUGUUAGACACUUUAUGUUCCAUAAGUUAAGCUUUUAAGUUAUAUUUUAUGCAUGUACAUGUGUUGAUACUUGAUAGUAGUGAGAGUUUAUUUAUACGUGGAGGUAAUGCUGACUAUUGAGAAUGUAGUGGAACUUAUUUUAAAGCACGUGCGGGUAGUCAAAAGCAUCCUUAUUUUAUUGAAUAAACCAUUUGAUCAUGGAGUAGUUUGCAUCCUAAAAGGCUAAAAAUGUAUGCGGAGUAGUUUGCAUCCUAAAAAUGUAUGCGUACCAUUGUCAUAGUAAAUAAAUGAUUGGGAUUGGCAAAUAUAUGGAAAGAAUAGUGGCAGCCUGCGUUUAGUGCAAUUUCUAAUUAUUCGAGGGGCUAAGACAAAAGUAUUGAACUUGUGAGUGAAGUCCAAUGAAUCUGGAUGGUCAAGGUGACGGGCCUGACGGCUAAGUUGAAAAAAUGUAUUUUGUGACAACGGACAAAAUUUGAUUUCAGCCUCACACUUUUCUCGGUCAAGAGAUUCUUUUUGAAAAAAAAUUAAAAUAGUAUUAUCACGUGCAAACUCUGACAGCAUGUGUGAUCAGAGGCGGACCCAUGUGUUAGGAAGGGGUGUCAGCUGCCGCAUGUUAAAUUUAAAUGUUAAGGAGUUUUUUUUUUUUUGUUAAGGAGUUUUUUCAUUGUACAAGAAGAAAAUAUAGCUUAAUUGGCGAAAGUUCUCUCUCUUGCAACCCCUUUCCAGAGUAAAAACCCAGCAGAUGUAAACAUUUUACUUAUUUUUAUAACAAAAAAAUUAUGCUGGUCUGAGCCCAACCUUUUGACACCCCAAAAAAAGAGGUCGGGUCCGCUACUACGUGCGAUAGAUUCUAGUUUUUGAAAUUUCAACUUGACCCCAAGUAAAAAAGAAAACAUAUAAUCUUUAUGGCGAAAUUCGGUCUUUCGGUGGACGGCAUCAAUCACCGGUAGUUUAUUUGGGUUUCAACUAGAAAAGUGAAAAGGAAUAUGGUUCCCGCCAUUAUAAUAAUGGCGAGACAAGGUUUAGCACUGGUGUAUCCUAUAUGUAUACUAGUUAAUUCGUUCCUAGAAGGUUGGAGAAGGGAUAGUAGUAUACAAAGUUCCUAUAGCUUCAUGCCGAAAGUAUAGACUAUUUUGUUUGAUAUGAUUGACCGUUCGAAUAGGGAGAUAGAUAAAAGAAACGUAAGAAUUGGAUAACUCCAGUGGGCAAGAACUCCUGACUCUGGGGAGACGCCCUCUUCCUAGCGAGUGAAUGAAUGAGCUCACUCCUUUCAUUCCUGUCAUUAUAAGAGCCACUCUUGAACCUUAACGACGACGUCAACCCCGAGGAACGCCAAUUACUUGACUAAUAGGAGAGGAACGCCUGGCUUGCUCAUGAACAACUAAGUUUGCAUAGGCUCGUGCACUGAUUUACGUUCAAGAAUCCCCGCCUUUGCCUCAGACAGAAAAAGAACAAAAGUACUACCGGGAAGGGAAGCCCGUUCCCGUGUAUCAGGUGCGAGUGUAACGAGAACCGACGCCAGAGCUCUCAGUGGUUUGUGGACUCGAACCACAAUCAGGUCUGAUGGUUGGCGUCCAGUGUAACGAACACCAAUCUCUUUUUAAAAUAAAAAUAAUUUAUAACCCUUACACUUCAGUGGGAAUAAGUCUUUCUCUUUUUUUUUCGGAAGGAGAAAAAGAUGGUUCAUUUGGUUCCCUUACGAAAUGCAUAAAAAGGUGUGUGAAUCUUUUUAAUAAAAAAAUAACAGAUUAUAUACAUAAUCAUAUGCUACCUAGUAUUUAGGGUGUGACUGGUGGAUUGCAGAGUAAUAAGCAUAAUGAAAGUGGAGUACUUAAAAGGAAAUAGUAGAGUAAUAAAGGCUAGAAAAAAUAAAUAUUCGGGUAAUUGAUUUUUCACUCCAAAGACAGUGAGAGUAUAAAGUGAACUUUUUACUUAUAAUAAUUAAACAGUACUUGGCGUAUCUGCUUGGCAAAUAUAAGUGAAACUGAGAGAAAAAAAAUUUGGCUAAAAGAUUCUCAAUAUACAUGCUAUUAAGGUUGCGACUGGUGAAUGAAAAGCGGUGCAUAUUUGUUUACAUGGAAUGAAAAUUUAAAAAGUCACCAAUCACAAAAACAGUAAAAAAAGGGGGAUGGAAUUCUUAAAACAACGCACUUAACAAACCAAAAAAAAAAAUUUUUUUGUUUGUUCACAUUUUUACAAUACCACACCUACAGUAGUUAACGUGUGUUUUUCAUGGUUACUUUCUUUUUUACAUUUUUCCUUUAUAACUAUAUAAAAUAUUUGGUUGUGAAUUUUCAUAUCCAAAUAUUUCAAUUAAACAGAAAAUUGUGCAAUUGAAUUAUCAGAAUAAAAUUUAUUUAUUUAUUUAAAAAUGUUAAUUAUGUUAAGGCAAACAUAUAUAAGUGCAUAUGAGUGUGAUAUAUAUGUGUUUUCUUAUAAUCAACUAUUAAUAACUAUUGUUAAAUUUAGAUACUUAAACUUUUGUUAAAAUCAUACAUGAUAAUAUUUCCGUUAUAUAGUUAUUCAAAAUAGUUAAUUAAAAUGAAAAAAUAAAAAUAAUAAUCAUACCAAAUUUAUUAAAUAUAAGAAUAGAUAACCAUGUGCACAUUUAUCCAGAACUGAAAAUUUGAACCAAACCAAACCUCUUUUCUUGGUUCUGUUUGGAUCCUAUCAAUUACCCAAACAAAUCGUAUAUCUCUAGAACUCAAGAAUCAUAACCAAAUUUUAUAUUCUAUAUUAAUUUUGAUAUUAUGUAGCAAAACCGUAAAAUAUUUUUCAGCAAUCAAACAUUAUUUUGUAUCGCUUAUUUUAUCAGAAUUGCACUUAUCAAAUGCAUUUCACUAAAAGACAUUUUUAUUUUAAAAUAUAUUUAUUAUAUGAAUAUAUUACUAUAUUAUUUUAAUAUAUUCUAUAAUAUAUACCAUUAUUAUUUUAUUUUGUUAAAUAAUUAUUAAAUACUGCAAAUAUGCAUUAUCAUCAAUCAAACAAUAUUCCGCGUUGCUUUUUACUUAAAACCACAGUUGCACCAUCCCACGCUUUAAUUCUGCACCGUUUUUAUUAUCAAAUCCACUGUCACCAUUCAGAGUCUAAGUCAUACUUUAAAUAGAACUUACAAUAUUUGGCAUGAUUACUGUUAUUUGUGUUCUUCAACCAAAGUUCAAAAGUAACAAAUAUUGUAAACCAUAUACACUCUCUGUUUUCUAUUGUAGGUUGUUUUAACAAAGAAAACUUGUUUCACAAUAUAAAUAGUUUACAUAUUUUAAUACACAUUUUCAUUUAGUGGAUAAUGUGUGACUAUUUAAAUAAUAUUAAAUUUUUAAUUGGUUGAAUUUAUUGAUUAAAUGAUAUUUUUUUUUAAAAUAACAACUUUCUUACUAUUAGUGUUUUUAGGUAAAAUUAUUUGUAUUUUAAAAUAGAGGAAGUAUAAUCUUGAACGCAUUGUGAUAUAUGACCGAGGGUGAUUUUUUCUGUAUUAAGAAGAUAAAUAAAACUUAUACUAGAUUAUGAUCCGCGUUAAAAUGCAGGUUAUGUUUUAUUUUGUUUAAUUUAUAAAGUCAGAAAAAUAAAAUUAUUGUGAAUAUUAAACUGUUAGAUUAGAUGUUUGGACUUGUGUUACCAAUGUAGCGAUCAGAUAUAUAUCUGAUUUUAUUACUUAUGUAAUGAACGUAAGACUAUAUGAUACUGAGUAGAACUAGAUUAAUAACAUAUAAAUGCACUUUAUUGAUUAGAAAUAUUAUUUCUUAAACUUAUAUUUUCUGUAGUUGUUAAGAUCCAAUUUUUUAAGUGGCUUAUCUUAUUAUUUUAAUUAAGUCUGUAUAGUAAUGAUAAUUUUUGAAACUUUUUGAUCAUUUUCAAUUGGAGAAAAAUUAUAUGCUUUAUAUUUAUUUUUUAUAUACGUAAAAUAUCUAAAAUUUUGUUAUGCUAAAAUUUUCAAAAGCGUUAACUUUCCACUAUCUAUAUAAUUUGUAACUUCUUAAAACCUAUAUAUAUAUAUAUAUAUAUAUGAAUAUAUUUCUAGGAUUCAUUGUAUUCAAAAAUUAUAGGAAAAAUUCUUAACCAAAAUUUAGAUAUAUCCUUAAUAUUAAUGUAAAUGAUAGUUUUGCAUUUAUUUAUAGCUAAUAUUAAUAUUAAUGUUUAACAAAACAAUUAGACCAUUGUAAUAUCAUGUAUAUAUAUAUAUAUAUGAUAUUUUAUCGAGAGUUGUUUUUAUCUUCAAAUAAAAUAAAAUAGAAAAUGGUUUGAUGAUUAUGCAUAGUAAUAUGUAUGAUGAAAUUGUGCAUAAUUGUACUGCAUACAUAAAUAUUGAUUUAUGUUAUGCAAAAAGUGUGUUUUGCUCUUGUAUAUAAAUUGUUUUACUUUUCUUAAUCAUUUAAACGAUUGGUUGUAUAGUAGUUUGUAUAAUAAGAAAAUUGUAGAUGAGUUAUAUUAUUUGGUUAAUAAACCAAUCUAUAAUGUGUAAGUUAAUUAAUAUUGGUUAAUAUGAUAUACGAUACGACCAGGUACAUGACUCAACUAAAAUUUUGGUUUUUACAAAAGCCCUGUUCGGUAAAGAACCGCAGCCUCAGCAUCAAGCGUUCACAAUAAUGCCUAAUUAUACGUUUUUUGAGGCUUAAGGAUGUGGAGAAUAAAUGGCAGCGACAUCCGCGUUUGACCACGAAGGCAAUUCCAAUGAACGCUGUUUUUUCAGCGUCACUAACAUCACCGGCAACACUCCGUAAAAUAAUCGCAGCGUCACAAACUUAAAAAAUGAUGGCUUUAAUUACAAAAUUUCCUUCAUGUUUGUUAGCCGCAAGCGUCAAGAAAAAGAACAUGCCUAAAGUAUAGAGUUAUUAUUUUCAUAGUUUUACUUUUAUAUAACAAUAAUUAUAUGAAUGUUUUUUAACAAAAACAAAAUUGUGUAUGAAUUGAUAUAUUAGGUGUGCUCAACAUUUAUUGUACACACAAAUUAUCUUCAAUGGAUUGUUUUUAGAAAAUAAAUAAAAGUCAUAGGUAGUAUAAAAUGAAAUGAAAAUAUCUAGGUUUUUUUUAAUAUUUGAGUAUUGAAAAUAUAAGAUGACUAAAGAUAGUGUAAAAUAUUUAAUACCUUUAGAUUUUUGUUAAGAUUUUGAGGAAUAAAUUAUUUGAUUAUUGUUAUUAUCGUUUCUUUAGGUUUGCGUUUUUUGAAAAAAACUACGUGAUUCCAAAGAAUCGUUUAUUUUUUUUUUGUUAGGAUAAUGUUAGGAAAUGAUUUAGUUGUUUUAGAUAAUAUUGUUAGAAUUUUUAAACUAUAGGAAGAUGACAUACAAAUCGUUUCUCUUUUUUUUUUUGUUAGCUUGACGUUAGGAAGUUUGUUCUAGUUAAGAUUUUAGAAUCUAAAUUUUAAAAACAUUAAUUAUGUAAAUUUCAUAUGGAAAUGUUUAAUUUAUAGAAUGGAUAGAUUUAAAUUAACUUAAUGAUUUAAAGUACUGGAAUGGAUUUAACUUUCUUAUGGAAACGUUUGUCACAUUCUAUUUCAUAUGAAAAAAUUGGUAUACGAAGUAAUAUUUCCUAUUCCAAUACGCAAAUCGUUUGUAUAUAUAUGAAGUAAUAUUAUUCGUUCUAAUGAGGAUUUUCACAACUUCCAGAGAUUUAAACAUGGCGAUAAUGAGGAUAAAGAAGAAACAAAUGAAAAGUGUGUAUACAUAUUGUGUAAAUAUUUGUAUAAUAUAAUACAUUGGAAAUAAUCAUUCGAUACAUUUGUAUUAAUGGACUGUCGAAUAAUGAAAUAUAAUUUACUCAUGCUUGAACAUAUGAAGGUGUAGAUUUCAUUAUGAGUAGUAGUCAACGAUUUUUUUUAUUAGAGGGGGAAAUUAUUUUGUAUUGUUAAUGUAAUAGCAAUGAAUGUUAUAUUUUUUUAAUGAAAUAUGAAUAUAUCCAAUCUUAAAUGACAAUUAAGUAGAUAAAAGUAUGACUCUAAAUUAAUAGAGUAGAUAUUUUCAGUUUUCAAAUCUAUACUAUACUAAAAUCGGGAUAUCAAGCCCCCUGAACACGUCCACGUCGGAUUGGAAAUUCAGGCCAAUCAGAAAUUGACUUUAUGCCACGUCACUUAUAUCAUGGGUCUGAACCGGACCAAUAUUUAUGUAUUUGAGAGGGUCCCAUUUUGAGAUCCAUCGUCAAAAGAGAGGUUAUGUAUCAACAAAUGUAAAAGUUUCAAAGAUGUGAGAAAACAAAACUAUAGGUGAAACAAGCUUUACCUGCUCAAAAACUGUAUCCAUGGAAGAAUUUCUUGGAAAAGAUAAAUCUGCCAAAAUAUUCAUUAAUGUCAUGUAAGAUUAUUAUGAUCUGUAGACAGAUGCAUAGGCAAGUCAAGAAGCAAGUAGAGAAAUCCUAUCAAGAGAAACAUGAUUUAACAGGUUCUGAAAAAUACUAUUUAAAAGUCUCAAGUGAAUAACACACCGUACAUGUGUUCCCUCAAGCUAAAAAAAUACUAAACAAGCUGAACUUAUUUUACCUGAGGCCGGCUGCAUCGUCUGUGUCCGAAAGCUGUCCAAAGGGGAACCUUGAGAUGAUAAAAAAUCAGAUUUGAUGUCAGACACAUCGUUCCGGCUAAUCCCAUCAGACAACCAACUGAGAGAGGCUUCUUCACCAGCUACACGGCCUCUAUUAUGAUUAUCCCAGCGAAAACUCCAAGUAGGAGAAUGCCUCCUCUCAGCAGCUGAUGAUGAGUUAGGCAGGAGGACCAUUUUGUCACGAGGAGCAACACACCACGCGUUCCCCAUUACCUUGAAGACGAGAAUAACGAGGGAGUGUAGCACAACUUUAUCCAAACUAUUUUUGAACUCUCUGUUCUUGCAUUUUUUUAUAUAUAAUGAAUAAUAACUUGUGAAGUUAGGGUAUUUCCUCCCACGCAUGUGUUGUGUUUUCGUAAUUAUAAAGUUAGGUUUUAAAAUUUUUAAUACAUAAAAAACUAUAUUACGUCUUAUAUUGUGAUCUACACCUAUUUACAUUACACUCUAUUUGUGUCAUUUACUGUAUUGCCGACGAUGGGAUGAAUAAAAAAAGCAUAGCGGAUCAUUAACUUGGAUCACAGUACAACAAUAUUGAUCUCGAUAUCUUUUUCUUCGAGUUAUUAAUUUACAAAAAAAAUUCUUUUUUAGAAUAAUAUAUUUUCUGUUUAAAAGGUAUUUGAUUUUAAGAUAUAUGAAUGGUUGAUUAAUUGUUAAUAGAUAAAACUUUUUAUGUUACUAUUGUUCAACUAUAAGGUGUAUAGAAAAUAUUACCAUAAAUGUAUAUGCAUUUUAAGUAUAAAAUGACAAAAUAACAUUUCAAUAUUUUUAAAUACUUAUAAAAUUUAAAGGUAAACUUCAAUAUGAAUAAAAUACAGGCAAACUAGACAAUAUAUUACUAUAUUUAUAUAAAUUUAUAUGCACUGGUUAUUAAUUUAUGUUUUUACUGGGACUAUAUAUUUACAUAAGAAAAUUCAAAAAAUUAUUAUUUUAUUAUUUUAUCGAAUUGUGUCAUAUUUUAUACUGACCCAAUUCAGAACUGGUGGAGUUUAUUAAUUUUUUUCAUUUAUUAAUUUAUCGAAUAUUAACUUAUAGAGUUUCUACUGUAUGGGUUCAAAAAACUUCUUGGAUAAAGCUAUUUUUAUUUUUUUAUUAAUAUAUGAAGUAAAAGUAUUAUCAAACUUAAAAAUUCCAAAUUUUAAACCGGAUAGCAUACUACAGAUAUUAGAAUAUAAAAGUUUAUCUUUUUAUUUAAUAAUAUUACAUAUAAAAUAGAUGAAAUUUAUAUAUUUUUAAAACAGUCUUCUAUUGAUUAGUUCAGAAAUAACCAUUUGCACUUUUAAUCAUGCUCGAACUGCAACAAUGUGAAUUCAGGAUUGCUUAGAACAAAUAAAACAAAUAGAAGCAUUGAUUAGUGUUACAAAAAUUUACAUACUGUUUAUGUUUAAAAAAAAAAGGCUUUACAAACCCCUUAAACUCUUAUUGAAGAGGAAACAAAUAUGGUAACAAAAUGGGAAAAGCUCCAGAUUAUACCUACAAACUUAUUACUCUUUGCAUGUAUGUAUUAUACUACUUCUCAAAAACAUAAUUCUAAAUAAAUAAAAUUUCCAGCAAAGAUAUAAGUUAAGUUUAUUCAACUUUCAGUUUAAUUAAAACAAUAUAAUUUUCUCUUCUAAAUCUAUAAAUUCUUAAAAUAUUCAAUCAAAUUUAUUUAAAUUUAUAAAUCAUCUUCAAAAAUUUUAAAGCAAAAAUUUUAGUUAAUACCAACACGAAAAACGAUAUUUAGUUUAAAUGUGAUUAAAGGAGACACAUAAAUACGAAAAAUAAUUUUUAAAAAUAACCAAGAUAACAAAGCAUUACAAGAUCAAAAAACAUAUGAUCAAAUUAUAAAUAAAAUGAAACACAAAAAUCUUAUAUUGUUCAAUAUACUUCAAUAAAGAUGUUUCAAUUAGACAAUAACAAUACAUUUAUUACAUUUGAGAAAAUACACUUAACAAAAAACUAAAAUAUAGAAAAUAAA
Brassica rapa (field mustard) is the source of this 12732-nucleotide long non-coding RNA. RefSeq lists it as uncharacterized. NCBI's taxonomy places the organism in Eukaryota, Viridiplantae, Streptophyta, Magnoliopsida, Brassicales, Brassicaceae. The record is from RefSeq and is a predicted model, not a curated record.